CUCAAUAUCAUCGGAUGAGGUGUGGUUCGUAGUGAAAAGCUUAUCGAGCUUGGUAAUAGCUGGUUCUCCCCGAAAUGCGUUUUGGCGCAGCGGUAUGGAGUAACAUGGGGGGUAGAGCACUGAUUGGUUUGCCGUGCCCUUUAGGGUAGGUUUACCAAAUAAACUCCGAAUACCCAUGCGAAAUCUAUACCAGUGAGUCCGUGAGGGCAAAGCUUCACGUACGCGAGGGAAACAGCCCAGAUCACCGCUUAAGGUCCCUAAAUUUAUGCUAAGUGUUAAAGGAAGUAUUUUGCCUUAGACAGGUAGGAGGUUGGCUUAGAAGCAGCCACCCUUUAAAGAGUGCGUAACAGCUCACUACUCGAACUCCGAUUUAUCGGGGAAGGCAAAGUGCGCCGAAAAUGUAACGGGGCUAAGCAUAGUACCGAAAGCGUGGGUUCGCAUUUAUUUAUAUUUGCGAGCGGUAGGGGAGCAUUCCUAGUGCAGCGAAGGUCAACUGUGAAGUUGGCUGGAGCGCUAGGAAGGGAGAAUGUUGGGAUGAGUAACCACAAGACCGGUGAAAGACCGGUCCGCCGAAAGCCCGAGGUUUCCUCCGCGAUGGCAAUCAUCGGAGGGUUAGGCGGUCCUAAGGAUAACCCAGCUUAAGGGCUGGGGAGGCCGAUGGAGAGCCGGUUAAUAUUCCGGCCCUCCGAUCCUGUUCGAUGGGAUGACGGAGUGCAGUAGUUCGAGCGCAUUAUUGGAUUUGCGUCCAUAGCGUGAGAGUGCGAUGCAGGCAAACCCGCAUCGCGCCGCAAGGCAAACUCAAGCGUCGUGGAAAUCGCCGUAAGGCGAAAUUCGAGCGAGCGCGCUUCCAAGAAAAGUCCCUAAAAUUAACAGGAUCGGAACCGUACCGCAAACCGACACUGGUAGGCAGGUCGAUAAGACCAAGGCUAACGGGUUUUUAUUGGCUAAGGAACUCGGCAAAAAAGCGGCCGUACCUUCGGUAUAAGGCCUUCCCUCCCCACUUUUGGUAUAGUAAAAUCUCGCCAUGUGGAUCGUAUAUCUAAUACAAAACAUGAUAUCU
Molecule: ribosomal RNA, 1060 nt
Filed under: Candidatus Uhrbacteria bacterium
Lineage: Bacteria; Candidatus Uhriibacteriota
Description: partial 23S ribosomal RNA
Rfam family: Bacterial large subunit ribosomal RNA
Source: RNAcentral